RNAcentral lists this ribosomal RNA (209 nucleotides) under Penicillium sp. Its description in RNAcentral is "partial large subunit ribosomal RNA". Lineage: Eukaryota; Fungi; Ascomycota; Eurotiomycetes; Eurotiales; Aspergillaceae. The record is from RNAcentral.
AAGCGUUUGCGAUCAGACUCGCCGACGGGGUUCAGCCUGCCUUCGGGCAGGUGUACUUCCCCGCCGGCGGGCCAGCGUCGGUUUGGGCGGCCGGUCAAAGGCCCUGGGAAUGUAACGCCUCUCGGGGCGUCUUAUAGCCCAGGGUGUCAUGCGGCCUGCCCGGACCGAGGAACGCGCUUCGGCUCGGACGCUGGCAUAAUGGUCGUAAA